Long non-coding RNA from Ixodes scapularis (black-legged tick), 1568 nucleotides. RefSeq lists it as uncharacterized. NCBI's taxonomy places the organism in Eukaryota, Metazoa, Arthropoda, Arachnida, Ixodida, Ixodidae. The transcript is spliced from 7 exons. The record is from RefSeq and is a predicted model, not a curated record.
AAGUUUCACGAAAGUAUUCAUUGGUUCUGAAUUCGUAAUUUGCAUGCUAGAUGUGCAUGGUACAAAGCAUAAUGGAUCCGUUUUUGUCCCUUGUACUUUUUGUAUACACAGGUCUGACUAAAUAUCACAGUAUGGGAACAGACCAAUCACGAAUCAAGGCGUUGUAUGCCAGUCAUGAGUCUGUUCUCCGUUGACAACAUGGCAGCUCCUCCAGUGGCUCCUUGCUCAGAAGCACUCAUCAUCGAAAUUGAGCGGUGUCCAUGGCUAUGGAACGCAAGCCGUAUGGACUACAGGGACACUGGGAAGCGCAAAAAUUCCUGGAAGGCAAUUGGAAUCGCUUUCUCUAGGAUUCCAACCCACCAACUGGGGAUUCGAUUCUUUGGGCCGGCGGUUUGCCUCGGAGCCACAGAUGCGGCCUCCCUGCAGCUGUCUGUGACCAUUCACGUCCGAGUGGGCAGCGCACACCCACCCACAACCCACUGCUCGCACCUCUCGUUUGCGUACCUCGCAUAACCAUUUCCCAAAGUCAUGGCACGAAAUGGGAAGCCAUUAUUAAUCGAGCGAUCAGUAAUGAAGAGAUCAAACAGGCAGAACAUAAAAAGACUACAUUUCAAGAUGCUGAAGGAGGCAGCGACUCUAACGCCUGCUGUCAGGCUUGGCUGGCCAUGAGGGCCAAGUAUGCGAGAGAAUCGAAGAAACAAAGAGGCCGGAGCGGUGCUGGCCGCGAUGGUCUUGCCGUGCCAACAUGGCACCUCUUCAAGUAACUGGCCUUCCUUAAGGGCCAGAUUCAGCACCGACGCACCAAAGUGCUCCCUGUUGCGGGGGGAGUGGCGUCCACUUCUGCAGCGGCAGCAGACGUUGAAAAAUGAGGCUUGAGCCCAGAGGCAAGUUUGCUUACACGCUACCGGUCUUUAUUCGGAGUGCAGACAAGCUGGCUAAGUUGACGUCAACCAGUUGGUGGCCAAAAUUACCUUCAGGGCUCCUAUUUUGGUCAUGGGCUUGGAGGUGAUCGAAUGUCACAGAAUGUGGAAGGCCAUCCGCAACCGCUAUGUUAAGAGACGAGAGCGGCGAAAGGCAAGAGUAAAGCUGGCGAGGAGGAUGUCCAGCCUCCCACGUGGGUUCUUUUCAAGUUCCUGGGGUUCCCCGAUGGUCAAAUCUGUGCAGAUGGUAGGCACAGAAUGUUUUGGACAACAAAGGGCACUGCAGAUUGUGCCGUAUUUUGUAUGCAUUGUAACGAUGACGUGGCAGAACCCUGGUUUGUCCCAAGACAAAAGGAGCCUCACACAACACCAUGUCUACAAACUGGAGUGAAGGAGCCCCCACUUCCGUGCCAGGAGAGAUCCUUGCGGAAAUGUAUUGCCCUGGAGAGACCGCAACCCCCGCAGAAAAUAGACAGCCUGGGAUGCCUGCUGAUGCCGAGAUGGAAGACAUACUGUAGCAUGAAGACAUACAUUUUAUUUAACAACUGCCUUCGAUAAGCAUGUUUGCAAGUGGCUCCUGUGUAAUUACCCUUUUCUCACUCUCCUCUUUCAUUUAAGCGAUUGGCUAUUCUUGGAGGCAGGUCCAAA